GGAACUUCGGACGGGCGCGGGCCCGGGG
RNAcentral lists this small RNA (28 nucleotides) under Bombyx mori (domestic silkworm). Its description in RNAcentral is "ovarian small RNA-5418". Lineage: Eukaryota; Metazoa; Arthropoda; Insecta; Lepidoptera; Bombycidae. The record is from RNAcentral.